RNAcentral lists this ribosomal RNA (253 nucleotides) under uncultured bacterium. RNAcentral describes it as "partial 16S ribosomal RNA". It matches the Rfam family "Bacterial small subunit ribosomal RNA", at positions 524 to 776 of the family's 1533-position model. The record is from RNAcentral.
GACAGAGGGUGCAACCGUUGUUCGGAAUGACUGGGCGUAAAGCGCGUGUAGGCGGCUCGGCAAGUCGGAUGUGAAAGCCCUGGGCUCAACCCAGGAAGUGCACUCGAAACUGCCGAGCUGGAGUCCCGGAGAGGAAGGCGGAAUUCUCGGUGUAGAGGUGAAAUUCGUAGAUAUCGAGAGGAACACCGGUGGCGAAGGCGGCCUUCUGGACGGCGACUGACGCUGAGACGCGAAAGCGUGGGGAGCAAACAGG